Molecule: unclassified non-coding RNA, 343 nt
Filed under: soil metagenome
Description: partial contains 5.8S ribosomal RNA, internal transcribed spacer 2, and large subunit ribosomal RNA
Rfam family: 5.8S ribosomal RNA (bases 1-120)
Source: RNAcentral
GAUGAAGAACGUAGUGAAAUGCGAUAAGUAAUGUGAAUUGCAGAGUUUUGUGAAUCAUCGAAUUUUUGAACGCACAUUGCGCCCCUCGGUAUUCCGACGGGCAUGCCUGUCCGAGCGUCGUUUGCAACCCAUCGAGUCACAUCUCGGUCUUGGGCGCCGCCUCCCCCCGCGGGGGACGGGCCCCGAAGCCAUCGGCGGCCCUGGGUGCCCGCCGGAGCGUCUUCGAAAGCAACCGCUCCGCGCGCCGCGCGCCCCGGGACUGCCGGGAAAACCCCCGACGAUCGUUUGACCUCGGAUCAGGCAGGGCUACCCGCUGAACUUAAGCAUAUCAAUAAGCGGAGGA